GCGGGAGGGUGCGGGCGGCCAGCGGCCCGGGGACUCCGAGGCGGUGGGUGCGGGAGCAGAAGUGAGACCGGGAGGACAGGUGCGGGGGAGGUGACGCAAGGAAAGGUAAGAGGCUCAUGCAGAAGAAAAAGUGGAGGGAGCUCAGAGGCAGACACCCAGCACACCAGUCCUCACCCUUGCCACCAUAAGCCAAGACCCCUAGAGGCCCCGCCUGUAUGUCUAUGCUUUCUUGCCUCAGAAAUCCAGGAGCUAGGCUUCCGCGGCAGAGGACGCUCAGACAUCUGGAGCCAGAGCUUCCACCCUUCCGGACCUGGACGACAUCAUGUCCGUCACCAUGUCCACCCAAGCUGGCGGAAGAAAAACCGGAAUUGGGCCUGGGGCCCACCCCAGCUCCGCCGGGGAAGAGGGAAGGCAAAGGCGGUUAACCUACA
Molecule: long non-coding RNA, 431 nt
Organism: Mustela erminea (ermine)
Lineage: Eukaryota; Metazoa; Chordata; Mammalia; Carnivora; Mustelidae
Exons: 3
Source: RefSeq, a predicted model, not a curated record